GUCCUUGUCCCUCUGACCUAUUACAAUAGUAAUAAAUAACCAUGGGUCUGAGUGGUUCAGUGUAAACAGUUCAGUAUAACUUCAGUAUAAACUUCAAUAUAAACGACUGACAGAAAUUAGUACUACUGCAGCUCAGAACUCCUGAACUCAAACAAUCUACCAGUCUCAGUCACCCCACCAGGAGAGGCUACAGCUUGGGUUCCACAGUGUCCUUGUGCAUGUAUUGAACCUGGAGGAGCUCCCUCAGACAGCUUCCUUGAGACGGUCUUAUGGUGACUUGGCCAGAAUUGGCAAGCUAUUGUCUACCAAAUUGUGAAACAUCUGGCCUGACUGAACAACAAACACAUAGCUACAGUCUCAGUUUGGCUUCCCAUGGACUGCUUUUCUAAUGACCUGUAUCAAUAGGUUCUUCGCUG
This 416-nucleotide long non-coding RNA is filed under the name Monodelphis domestica (gray short-tailed opossum). Its description in RNAcentral is "lncRNA (ENSMODG00000046526.1)". The record is from RNAcentral. Lineage: Eukaryota; Metazoa; Chordata; Mammalia; Didelphimorphia; Didelphidae.